ACCAGUGCGAAGGGCCGGGAGGCUGGGCAGUCCUGGUGCCCGCCUUGGCCUAGCCCCGGCCCCGGGACGGAAGGGGGCCUCUGGGGUGGCAGCCUGGGCCCAGUAGAGCUUUGCAUCUCUUGGAUAUCUUUCCCGGGCGCAGAAGCUGCGGGGCUUAGGGAGUCGCCAUUGCGCUGGAAAGUCCUCCCGCCCACGGAGACCCCAGCAAACUCCGAGUGUCACACAGUCGCCUCUGGCGACCCGUGCGGGCCGGAGCCGUUCGCGCACAGGCAGGGCGGGUGCUGAGCGUGGAAACGGGGCUGGAAUUGGCCGAGCCAUGCCUUUCCGGGAUGCCCACCGCCAGUCAAAGGGUUGGGGGUGGUCUCUGCACCUUAAGUACUAACCUGCCGCCCACGCGCCUCCUGACCACAGCACCCCGUCGGCUUUCUAAUUCUGUGAGCUGCCCUCGUGGGCGUGGCCUCCCUGUGGAGCUCCCCAUGUGCCUCCCCUUGGUCCAGCCUGCAGCUAGGAAGUGGGUCACAGCGACGGGGCUGGGCUGGGCCAGGCCAGGCUCCGGGAGAUGUGGAAUUGGCGAAACAACUGCCCCAGUAGUAUCCUCCGCCUAGGACUCCAAGAGGUGGCGAAUUGGGGCACUACGCCCGGGUAAGGCAGUGCCUGUUCAGGGCUGCCGACCUGUCUCCCCAGGGCUGUCAUUCUCAGCAAGUACUUUAGGAGUGCCUUAGAUCGGCACAUUCUCCCAUUGAAAUAUUUUUGUUAGUGGAGACAAGGGAGGUAAUGGCAAGGACACGGAUCAUCACAGCCCCUAGGGAUUUGUUGAAUGACCUUUGGCAAAUCACUUCCCUUCUCUGGGCCUGUAGUUCUUGGCUGAAUAUGAGGGAAUGGAUUUCAAAUUAUGCUCCAUGUAAUACCCGUGUUUUUACCUCUGUAAACAGAUUUUUUUGUUUUUUUUGAGACGGAGUCUCGUUCUGUCCCCCGGGCUGGAGUGCAGUGGCGCGAUCUCGGCUCACUGCAACCUCCGCCUCCCGGGUUGACGCCAUUCUCCUGCCUCAGCCUCCCUAGUAGGUGGGACUACAGGCGCCCGCCACCACGCCGCCCGGCUAAUUUUUUUUUUCUUUUUCUUUUUCUUUUUUUUUUUUUGUAUUUUUAGUACAGACAGGGUCUCACUGUGUUAGCCAGGAUGGUCUCGAUCUCCUGACCUUGUGAUCCGCCCGCCUCGGCCUCCCAAAUUGCUGGGAUUAUAGGCGUGAGCCACCGCGCCCGGCCCCAACAGAUUUUUAAAGAUGGUCUUUUCCCAAUUUGUGGAAAUGUUUUAACAGAAUGCUCUCAAUAUUUUUCGCCCAUGUGAUUCUUAGAUUCAUGUGAAUCUAACACAACGUAUCUGAUACUGUUCCCAACAGGAACCAGGGUGGCAGGGCUAGAUGUCCUCUCACCAGACUGCCCAGUGAAGGUGCUGUCACUUUGAUGAAUUAUCAAGGCUUUGUAGUGGGUCUUCUACUGGACAAAGGACAAACUGGAGACUCCCUGGAUCAAAUGUGUUGGUGAGGCACUGAAUCUGAUUGCUGAAAGGUGAUUCAGCUGCAAGUUAGGCAUCAGUUUAGGGUUUUCUAGGCUUGGCAUCUAAAGGGAGUGCCUGCUGUAGCUGAAACCUCAUAGGCCUUCUCUUCCUUCCGAAUUGUUUUCAAGGCCUUGGGGGUACAGAGACUUAGAGAAAAUACAUAGUUGUGCCUCAGACUGAUGGGCCUCAUCUGUUUAAUGGAGAAACACCAAGCACACUCAGUCUGGGCGGAAUUUUAGAGCUCCAUAGUAUAACCACUAUCUAGCUACAUGUGGCAAUUGAGCAUUUGAAAUGUGGCUAGACUGAAUUGAAAUGUGCUGUAUAAAAUAUACACUUAAUUUCAAAGACAAUAUUUUUAAAAUGUAAAAUAUUUCAGUAAUUUAAAAAUAUGGUUUAAAUAUUUUAGAUAUGUUGGGUUAAAUAAAAUAUAUUAGUAAAAUA
Molecule: long non-coding RNA, 1996 nt
Organism: Homo sapiens (human)
Lineage: Eukaryota; Metazoa; Chordata; Mammalia; Primates; Hominidae
Gene: TMEM9B-AS1
Product: TMEM9B antisense RNA 1
Source: Ensembl